CCUACGGGAGGCAGCAGUGGGGGAAUCUUGCGCAAUGGGCGAAAGCCUGACGCAGCCAUGCCGCGUGAAUGAUGAAGGUCUUAGGAUUGUAAAAUUCUUUCACCGGGGACGAUAAUGACGGUACCCGGAGAAGAAGCCCCGGCUAACUUCGUGCCAGCAGCCGCGGUAAUACGAAGGGGGGCUAGCGUUGCUCGGAAUUACUGGGCGUAAAGGGAGCGUAGGCGGAUAGUUUAGUCAGAGGUGAAAGCCCAGGGCUCAACCUUGGAAUUGCCUUUGAUACUGGCUAUCUUGAGUAUGGGAGAGGUUAGCGGAACUCCGAGUGUAGAGGUGAAAUUCGUAGAUAUUCGGAAGAACACCAGUGGCGAAGGCGGCUAACUGGCCCAUUACUGACGCUGAGGCUCGAAAGCGUGGGGAGCAAACAGGAUUAGAUACCCUGGUAGUCCACGCCGUAAACGAUGAGUGCUAGUUGUCGGCAUGCAUGCAUGUCGGUGACGCAGCUAACGCAUUAAGCACUCCGCCUGGGGAGUACGGUCGCAAGAUUAAAACUCAAAUGAAUUGACCGGNUGAGACGNGCGAGACGACGACGAGGGAGAGG
Molecule: ribosomal RNA, 595 nt
Filed under: uncultured bacterium
Lineage: Bacteria
Description: bacterial SSU rRNA
Rfam family: Bacterial small subunit ribosomal RNA
Source: RNAcentral